GCCUGGGUGGCUCAGUCAGUUAAGCGUCUGACUUCGGCUCAGGUCACGAUCUCAUGAUUCGUGAGUUCGAGCCCCACGCCGGGCU
This 85-nucleotide transfer RNA is filed under the name Felis catus (domestic cat). It matches the Rfam family "tRNA". Rfam says of the family: Transfer RNA (tRNA) molecules are approximately 80 nucleotides in length. Their secondary structure includes four short double-helical elements and three loops (D, anti-codon, and T loops). Lineage: Eukaryota; Metazoa; Chordata; Mammalia; Carnivora; Felidae. The record is from Rfam by way of RNAcentral.